Molecule: ribosomal RNA, 1206 nt
Filed under: Staphylococcus saprophyticus
Lineage: Bacteria; Bacillati; Bacillota; Bacilli; Caryophanales; Staphylococcaceae
Description: bacterial SSU rRNA
Rfam family: Bacterial small subunit ribosomal RNA
Source: RNAcentral
CGGGCCCUAUCAUGCAAGUCGAGCGACAGAUUAGGAGCUUGCUCCUUUGAAGUUAGCGGCGGACGGGUGAGUAACACGUGGGUAACCUACCUAUAACACUGGGAUAACUUCGGGAAACCGGAGCUAAUACCGGAUAACAUUUAGAACCGCAUGGUUCUAAAGUGAAAGAUGGUUUUGCUAUCACUUAUAGAUGGACCCGCGCCGUAUUGCUAGUUGGUAAGGUAACGGCUUACCAAGGCGACGAUACGUAGCCGACCUGAGAGGGUGAUCGGCCACACUGGAACUGAUACACGGUCCAGACUCCUACGGGAGGCAGCAGUAGGGAAUCUUCCGCAAUGGGCGAAAGCCUGACGGAGCAACACCGCGUGAGUGAUGAAGGGUUUCGGCUCGUAAAACUCUGUUAUUAGGGAAGAACAAAUGUGUAGUAACUGUGCACAUCUUGACGGUACCUAAUCAGAAAGCCACGGCUAACUACGUGCCACCAGCCGCGGUAAUACGUAGGUGGCAAGCGUUAUCCGGAAUUAUUGGGCGUAAAGCGCGCGUAGGCGGUUUCUUAAGUCUGAUGUGAAAGCCCACGGCUCAACCGUGGAGGGUCAUUGGAAACUGGGAAACUUGAGUGCACAAGAGGAAAGUGGAAUUCCAUGUGUAGCGGUGAAAUGCGCAGAAAUAUGGAGGAACACCAGUGGCAAAGGCGACUUUCUGGUCUGUUACUGACGCUGAUGUGCGAAAGCGUGGGGAUCAAACAGGAUUAGAUACCCUGGUAUUCCACGCCGUAUACGAUGAGUGCUAAUUGUUGGGGGGUUGUCCGCCCCUUAAUGCUGCAUCUAACGCAUUAAGCACUCCGCCUGGGGGAGUACGACCGCAAGGUUGAAACUCGGAGGAAUUGACGGGGACCCGACACAGGCGGUGGAGCAUGUGGGUUUAAUUUCGAAUCAACUUCGAAGAACCUUACCAGAUCUUGACAUCCUUUUGAACAUUCCUAUGAGAUACUAGCCUUUCCCCUUUCGGGGGGCACUUAAGGGACAGGGGGGAGCAUGGGGUUGUCAUCCAUCUUCGUGCUCGUGCAAAUUUCUGGGUAUAGUUUCCGUAAGGACCCGCCAACCCGUUCAGCUUUUUUUGGCAUUAUUUACGUUGGAUUCCUUCUGGCUUCCUGCCGGAUGACAAACACCGGAACGAACGCGGGGGAGGGGAAGGGACGGGUGCCUA